Thunnus maccoyii (southern bluefin tuna) is the source of this 1234-nucleotide long non-coding RNA. RefSeq lists it as uncharacterized. The record is from RefSeq and is a predicted model, not a curated record. The transcript is spliced from 2 exons. Lineage: Eukaryota; Metazoa; Chordata; Actinopteri; Scombriformes; Scombridae.
AUGAGAUUUGUUGGCAAUAAGAAAAAUAUAGAGAUUCACCAGACUUAUCCUUAAACUAUCUCUCCAUGUGUUAGAAGAUUAGCACAAGAGUGGAAUAUAAAAGUCUGGAUCAAUAAAAUGAUCCUACUGAUCUACUGUGUGUGUGUGUGUGUGUGUGUGUGUGUGUGUGUGUGUGUGUGUGUGAACAUUGAUUUGACAGAGGACUUGAGAUGUUUCUGUUUAGUUUUUGUCAUUUUACCAGCAGAUCGUCUCCAGCUCUCAGUGGGAGUUCAGCACUUUUCCACCCAGCUGCGAAGAGAAAGAGACACCAGAUGCUCGGCUGUUGCAGGACGGGUGUAAUCAGGCCAUGAAGCUCUCUGACUGGAGGAGAAGAUGUCUGCGGGUACGACGAGAAGCAAGACAGCCUGAAACUGGAGUCUGCAGCUCUGUGAGGCUUCACGAAGGCCAGAAGGCUUUCUGACUGUAAACAACCCUGCGUAAGAGAAAUGCAAGCGGCUGCGUUGGAGAGUGUCGCUUCAUCUAACGUUGAGAAGGUGAAAUACAAUCUAGGAAGUCCAGUUUGAGAAACAGAUGCAGUUUAAAGGCAGGGGGGCAGGAGUGUGUCCUCUCAGGUGCCCACACAGUAUGAUAAAAUGCUUCUGAGGUGCUGCAUAAAGGAGAAAACAUACCAAAGUUCUGUAAUGACUGUCUAGUUAUGGGUAAAUCAGGAUGAAAUGCCCUAUAGAGGGCCUCUAUAUAUGACAGUCUGGGAUGAAGAGCCCUCUUGGUGCCCUUUCAGUGGAAGAAAAUGUGAUCGUGCCCUGUAAAGAACCCCUAAAAAUGAGAAAAUAUGAUUUGCCCUUUCAAUGAAGAGGAUGUAUGCCCUUCUAGUGAACAAAAAAAAUAAAUAAAUAAAGGGAAAAAGUGCAGUUUAGGGGUCCCCUGAGUCUAACAUACUGGAGUGCAGAAUUGGGUGCCCUUUGAAUGAAAAAAGUUCCACUGUAUGGGAGAAAAACACUGUGAAGUGGGGGUCCGUUGAACAUAUCGGGUGACCUUUAUAUAUUUUCGCCCCUGAGGCAGCUUGAGUCCACCGCUGUAGAGACAUUUCAGUCUGUCGACCAACUGACGAAACCGAUGACCCACCACUAACCUGGAUUAAAAAGGAAGUCAUUAUGGUACAAUUUUGUGACUUAAUUUAUGUAGAUUAAUGUUAUUUUUGCUGUGAAUACUUUGAAGAAACAGCUGAUAAAUCUAA